This is a long non-coding RNA of Epinephelus moara (kelp grouper), 5826 nucleotides long. RefSeq lists it as uncharacterized. Lineage: Eukaryota; Metazoa; Chordata; Actinopteri; Perciformes; Serranidae. The transcript is spliced from 3 exons. The record is from RefSeq and is a predicted model, not a curated record.
CAAAGGCAAACACAUGUAUGUAAAUGUAUUCAUGUAUUUUGUGUAGUUGUGUUUAAGCUGCAGAGCUGAAAACAGGAAAAUUGGUUUUCUCUUUAUCAGCAUGAGCUUGUAUGUUUAGCAGCCCCAAACACACUGAUAAGACAUUGCAAGCUGUUGAAACUGUUUGAUUAUGUCCACACUUUCAUGGCCUACAGGUCGAGGCAUGAAAAUGUGGAUGAUGCAUCAUUAGCAACUUUCAUGUUUGUGGUUUCACAUUCACACCUCAGUUUUCACUUACUCACUUUAAUUUAAUUAUUGUUUGUGACCUCACAUGACUCAUGUGUGUCAUACCAAACACUUAACAGUGUUUUGUGCACUGAUGUUUAUUGAAUGAAUAAUUAUGUCCAGAUCUUUUGACAGUAAAACUUUAAAAGACAUUUGUAUAAUUGCAGUUAGGUCACAAACCAAUAAAGCUGCGGUGUGCUCCACAUUUAAUUGAAUUUACCGUGUUCUCACAGGCAUAAUAUCAGGUUUGCAACCUGCUGUUACGCACGCACCCCACCUGGCUUCUGCCUCUUGACUCACCAUGGGAUUAUUUGCAGGGAAAAUGUGUGAGAAUAUAUCAGUCCACCCACAGAGUGAUGCUAAAACCAGAAAAACACCAAGUUGUGUUUUGUCCAAACAAACCCUGUGUCAUGAUGAGUAUACUGGGGAUCACUCACAGCAGUCUCAGAUAGAUCUGAUUAAUUGUCUGGAUAUGUAUGGAAGAGAACAGUGUCAAUAGGACAGUGAUUGCAGCGAUGGGAAAUGAAAACACAGGUAAGAAUAUGACAGAAAUGUUUUAUGUCAGGGUACAAACAGCCUCAUGCCUGGUGUUUGAUUGAAAAAGGUUGAAAGUCUUAUGAGCAAAUUCACAACAGGAUUGAGCUGCUUUUAUGUCCGCUGAAACUGCACAAAUGAGACAAAAAGGAACCAUGUAACCCUCAAAUGUACCUGCAAAGAAAGAAAUGCAAGCCUAACUGUGCUGCCAAGCAAAUAGGUAGUGUGUAUACAUAUGGUGCAAAAUCAGCCCCUUUCUAUGCAAAUGAGCCUCUUUGCAAAAAAAAAAAAAAGUCCACUUCACAAAGAUCAGUGCUAACAGCCACAUGCAGUUACACUGAAAUAAUUAGUGUCUUUAAAAAGUUGGUGGUAACUGAAGUGUACUAACAGAUUAGGUUAUUAAAUGUUAAAUCUGGGCUGCAUAGGUAGGUAGGUAGGUAGGUAGGUAGGUAGGUAGGUAGGUAGGUAGAGAUGGUUAGAUAGGUAGGUAGAAAGGUAGGUAGAUGGAGAGAGAGGGGCAGAGAGAGAGAGAGGUAGUUGGAAAGAUAGGUAGGUAGAAAGGUAGAUAGGUAGAAAUGUAGAUAGUUGAUAGGUAGAAAUGUAGAUUGGUAGAAAGGUUGAUAGGUAGAAAGGUAGAAAGGUUGAUAGGUGGAAAGGUAGAAAGGUAGAUUGAUAGAAAGGUAGAAAGGUUAAUAGGUAGAAAGGUAGAAAUCUAGAAAGGCAGAAAUAUAGAUAGGUAGAAAGGUUGAUAGGUAGGAAGGUAGAAAGGUAGGUAGAUAGGUAGAUAGUUGAUAGGUAGAAAGGCAGAUAGGUAGAAAUGUAGAUAGGUAGAAAGGUAGAUGGGUAGAAAGGUUGAUAGGUAGAAAGGUUAAUAGGUAGAAAGGUAGAUAGGUAGAAAGGUAGGUAGAUAGUUGAUAGGUAGAAAGGCAGAUAGGUAGAAAGGUUGAUAGGUGGAUAGGUAGAAAUGUAGAUAGGUAGAAAGGUAGAUGGGUAGAAAGGUUGAUAGGUAGAUAGGUAGAAAGGUAGAUAGGUAGAAAGGUUGAUAGGUAGAAAGGUACAAAGGUUGAUAGGUGGAAAGGUAGAAAGGUUGAAAUGUAGAAAGGUAGAUAGCUAGAAAGGUUGAUAGGUAGAUAGGUAGAAAUGUAGAUAGGUAGAAAGGUAGAUGGGUAGAAAGGUUGAUAGGUAGAAAGGUAGAUAGGUAGAAAGGUUGAUAGGUAGAAAGGUAGAAAGGUUGAUAGGUAGAAAGGUACAAAGGUUGAUAGGUGGAAAGGUAGAAAGGUAGAAAUGUAGAAAGGUAGAAAGGUUGGUAGGUAGAUAGGUAGAAAGGUUGGUAGGUAGAUAGGUAGAAAGGUUGAUAGGUAGAAAGGUUGAUAGGUAGAUAGGUUGAUAGGUAGAUAGGUAGAAAUGUAGAUAGGUAGAGAGGUUGAUAAUUAGAAAGGUAGAUAGGUAGAAAGGUUGAUAGGUAGAAAGGUACAAAGGUUGAUAGGUGGAAAGGUAGAAAGGUAGAAAUGUAGAAAGGUUGGUAGGUAGAUAGGUAGAAAGGUUGGUAGGUAGAUAGGUAGAAAGGUAGAUAGCUAGAAAGGUUGAUAGGUAGAUAGGUAGAAAUGUAGAUAGGUAGAAAGGUAGAUGGGUAGAAAGGUAGAUAGGUAGAAAGGUUGAUAGGUAGAAAGGUAGAUGGGUAGAAAGGUUGAUAGGUAGAAAGGUACAAAGGUUGAUAGGUAGAAAGGUACAAAGGUUGAUAGGUGGAAAGGUAGAAAUGUAGAACGGUAGAAAGGUUGGUAGGUAGAUAGGUAGAAAGGUUGGUAGGUAGAUAGGUAGAAAGGUUGAUAGGUGGAAAGGUAGAAAGGUAGAAAUGUAGAAAGGUAGAUAGGUAGAAAGGUUGAUAGGUAGAUAGGUAGAAAUGUAGAUAGGUAGAAAGGUAGAUGGGUAGAAAGGUUGAUAGGUAGAAAGGUAGAUGGGUAGAAAGGUUGAUAGGUAGAAAGGUUGGUAGGUAGAAAGGUAGAUAGGUAGAAAGGUUGAUAGGUAGAAAGGUACAAAGGUUGAUAGGUGGAAAGGUAGAAAGGUAGAAAUGUAGAAAGGUAGAAAGGUUGAUAGGUAGAAAGGCUGAUAGGUUAGGUAGGUCGAUAGGUUGAUAGAGAGAUAGAGAGAGAUGGUUAGGUAGUUAGGUAGAUACAUAGAUAGAGAGAUAGAGAUGGUUAGGUAGUUGGAUAGAUGGUUAGAUAGGUAGAUAGAUGGGUGGAUAGAUGGAUAGAUAGACUUAAUUGUCAUUCAAAUCCACACAACAUUGACUCUGAAUUAAACAUAGAUAAAACUAUACAUCAGCAGCAAAAGUGCUAGUGCUAGAUAGACUAAUACAAGUCCAUCAAGCUGAGACCAGAGAUCAGUGAGAGUGUGAGAAGGGGAUUAUUGACUGACAUUCAGUGUAAGUGGAUGGUGUGUAAGAGGUUCAUCAUCUCAUGGAGUUCAAUCAGUUAAAUGUAAUGUAUUGCAAUCAUCUGCAGAAGACACUGUCACCUCACUGGAAUGACUCUGCAGCUAUUUCUGAUGAUUUGUAAAAAGCCUAGAACUGGCCGUCGAUUCAUGAUAGUGUAGGCUGAAAGUGUACAAAAGGGCAGGUGCAUUCCAUGUCAAGCCUCUUCUGCCCGCUUUCUCUGUGCCACAUAUGCCGCUGUGUAACACCAGAGGCAGAGGGUAAGUGCAUGAGGGGAAGUGGAACUUCUAAGAAAACAGCCACGGUUUCUCUCUGUCACAGUUUCUCUCUGUCACAUCUAAGGCCAGGACACACCAAACCAACAUCAGAGAACUAGUGGCAACCAAGGCCGACUGUGGCAUUGUCUCACAUUUCCUGUGUGUCCGCCAAAAAGUAGCACUGAACACACUACAAAGACUACAGCCAACAGUCAUCUGGCAUUUAUGUUGGGCACAUGUGUGAGAAAAAAUAACUCUCCAUACUAGCAUGGGGUGGUAGUCUGUGUUCAUAAUUGAAAAACGGAUACAGAAAGACCGACAGGAUGGAUUCAAGGCGCUAAUUAGCCAGUUAGCACAUAAACAACUCAACCUGAUGCUGAAAGAACAAAGGAUAUUUACUGUGCACCAGAGAACAAUAACACAAACAGGAACGAAUUGUUUCUGUUUAAGAGCUCAAGGGCCGGAAAAAUAAACUUACCUAAUACAACAAAUUUGUGUCGAUCUCACGCCCUCUUGAUUUUAGUUGUUUGUUUGCUUUCCUCACUUCCAUUUCUCUUCUUGUCCUAUGAGUUGAACCUCCAAACAGAGUAAUUUCUCUCACUAACAGGCUCCGUCAUUCCCGACUCUGAUUCAGCAUGCUGAUCCUGCCAGAAAAAGCUGACAGGGCCCCCAGCGUUGGGGGACAUAAUGCAAAAACUAUGGUGACAGAUGCUCAUGAACAGCCUGACAUUGACCAAUGGCCAACUCUUGGCUUAGUGUGUUAGGGCCUUUAAAUUCCUUUCCAUUUUCAGGAAUGCCUCUGCACCUCGUCAAUCAGGACCCGUAGCUUGUGGUCUGAAAUUUUUCAUUUUCUUUUUCUCUCUCUGCCAUUGUUCUGCGUUUUUGGUGCAUUUAUACUCAAUCUGACGCAAAACAGGAAAUUUUAAGUGCUAUGUCAUAGGCAACUGGACUUGCUUGAGUUUCUUGAAGAUGUGCCACCUCUCAUCCAAGAGUCUUUCCCAGUUUUAACGGACUGGUGCUGAGUCGCAGUAGCCUGGAAAUCCAGACCCAAAUCUAGAAAGAUUUAGGGUCUGGCUAUGAGUUAUGUAAAUGGCCCAACUCGAGGGGCGGCACCAAGCAUGCAUUUGAAAAUAUCACUGCACGCAACUGGAUAACACUACGACCAAUCAGAACGUGAGAACUCUGGAUUUCCAGGGUAGAGUCGCAGGCUUUAAACUCUGUUAGUGUGAACCCUUACAGAGUCAUUGGGGUCACAUGUGAGUUGUUGACCCACCCAGCCGUUAUGUGUUUCGUAAGGGUUAGAUGGUCCAGGUGUGAAUGGGUGUUGGAUGGAGGGAUCCCAAGACGGCAUUGUAGAUGGGUGAUAAGUGGUAUCAUAGGCCACUUCCUCUGUUUAACAAUGGUCAUUCCGGUUUGAUGUAGAUGGCUUCUUUCACGCGUCUUUCAAACCAUCUGUCUUCCCUGGUCAAGAUGUGAACAUUGCUGUCCUCGAAAGAAUAUCCCUUUUUCUUUAGAUGUAAAUGAAGAGCCGAGUCUUGACCUGACGACCUGGCUCUCCUGUGCUGUGCCAUGCACUUGUGGAGUGGUUGUUUACAGUUCGUUAGAACUUUUUCUUCAAGAAACUCGAGCAAGUCCAGUUGCCUAUGACAUAGCACUUAUGAUUACCAUGACCUGGAUGACUGAGAAUCUUCACCGACAUAAUGGGAAAUUGCACUUGCAAAACUUCUAUCAGGUGUGUUUGCACUGUACUAUCAAUGGUGCAUUAUCAACCUCGGAAUCCAGUGACUGUCAUCUGAGGACGACACAGCCUCCGGGGGCGAGAGCCAAUAUUUCGGGCUGAUCUGGUGACUUCCCCUUAUGUGCGAGGCUCAUUUUAGUUAACGUCUAUAAACAGAUAUUUGCAUAUGAAUGAAGAUACAUUUUAAAAAAUAUUAUAAAGCUAACGUGUCAUGAGACUAUUGAGAUUGUACCUCGGCCAAUGCGUUCCACCUCUCCGCACGGACUUUAUGUCUGCUGUUCGAACAGAAUUGGUCAGUACUACUUGGACUACAAACAAAAAUGAGAACUGAUACCAAAAUUUUGUCCUGUCGACAACACAUUCUGCACACACAUGCAGAUUUCAGGUGAUAGAGAUCGGUGCAUAUCUUUUGUGAACUGGACUUUGAGACGAGGCAGAUAGUGGUUGCAAGUGAGUCGCAAUUCACGUUGCUAUCAGUGGCAACAAUCCAUUUGUUGUGAAUUUGCCCACGAGUGUUCAGCUGCUUUGUUUUGAAUGAUCUUUACCAGACAGUGCCUCUUAUCUUCUGAACACUUCCUAACGCUCUCCUUCUUUGUUCUGGU